ACUCGCCGAGCUGGAGAGAGGUCACCGGGCACGCCCGGGACGAUCCGCCGAAGGGGCACGCGGCCCAUGCCGCUGAACUCUCAGGCAAAAGGACAGCGGGAGCGGC
Molecule: non-coding RNA, 106 nt
Filed under: Stenotrophomonas maltophilia
Lineage: Bacteria; Pseudomonadati; Pseudomonadota; Gammaproteobacteria; Lysobacterales; Lysobacteraceae
Description: Glycine
Rfam family: Glycine riboswitch aptamer
About the family: This family represents the bacterial glycine riboswitch.
Source: RNAcentral